Molecule: long non-coding RNA, 1384 nt
Organism: Oreochromis aureus
Lineage: Eukaryota; Metazoa; Chordata; Actinopteri; Cichliformes; Cichlidae
Source: Ensembl
CAGCGUUAUGCAACAACCACGGCUAUGACAGCAGACGAUAAGAAAAGCAUGUCUUUAUCCUGUCUUCCUUCCCUCUCCCCAACCGGUCGCAGCAAAUGGCCCCGCCCCUCCCUGAGCCUGGUUCUGCUGGAGGUUUCUUCUUGUUAAAAGGGAGUUUUUCCUUCCCACUGUCGCCAAAGUGCUUCCUCAUAGGGGGGCAUAUGAUUGUUGGGUUUUUCUCUGUAUGUAUUAUUGUAGGGUCUACCUUACAAUAUAAAGCGCCUUGAGGCGACUGUUGUGAUUGUGUAAUUGUGAUUUGGCGCUAUAUAUAUAGAAUUGAACUGAACUGAAAAUAACUGAAAAUAAAAUGUUCAUUUCUAAUACUUGGUUGAAAACCCUUUGCUGACAAUGACAGCCUGAAGUCUUGAACUCGUGGACAUCACCAGAUGCUGGUUUUCCAUCUUUUUAAUGCUCUGCCAGGCCUUUACUACUGCAGCUUUCAGUUGCUGUUUGUUUGCUUGCAGGCCUAUCUGUCUGUAGUGUAGUCUUCAACACGUGAAAUGCAUGGUCACUUGGGUUGAGAUCAGGUGACUCACUUGGCCAUUCAAGAAUAUUUCACUUCAUUGCUUUAAGAAACUCCUGGGUUGCUUUGGCUGUAUGUUUUGGGUCAUUGUCCAUCUGCAUUAUGAAAUGCCCCCCAAUCAGUUUGACUGUGUUUAGCUGGAUUUGAGUAAACAGUAUGUCUCUGAACACCUCAGAAUUCAUUUGGCUGCUUUUGUCCUUUGUCACAUCAGCAGUAAACACUAGUGUCCCAGUGCCACUGGCAGCCAUGCACACCCAAACCGUCACACUGGCUCCAGUAUGUUUUGCAGAUGAUGUGUAUGCUUUGGAUCAUUAACUGUUUCACACCUUCUCCAUACGUUGCUACUUACUCUGUUAACUGGGUGACUGUGGCUCAUAAGAUAAACUGGGUCGUCUACCAAUUGGAGAGUCUGUGGUUUGUGCCCCAAACUUCCCCAGUCUGCAUGUUGAAGCAUCCUGAGACAAAAUAUUAAACCCUGAGUUGCCCCAGUGCAUCCACUGGAGUGUGUUUGUUAAACAAGGUUCUUAUGUAUAGAAAGCACAUUUGUAUUUGGGUGAAUGAGGCUUACAGUGAAAAGCCCUCUGAGUGCUCAGAGUAGAAAAGUGCCAUAAUGUACAUGCAACUGUAAUAUUAUAUUGCGCAUCGGGUUAUUAGAUAUUAAAGGGUUUGUGUUAUCAACUGAUGACACGGUGCACCAUUAGUACUAGAAAAUGAACUUUUUUGCUGAAACACACCUGCUUUUCAAAAGCAGCACAUUUGGUCAUUAAAAUACCAAAUCAUAGCUUGACAUGUAGCAGCAGACAAUGCAGAAUCUGCGCGUGA